RNAcentral lists this ribosomal RNA (717 nucleotides) under Ehrlichia sp. 'CGE agent' (agent of canine granulocytic ehrlichiosis). RNAcentral's name for it is "bacterial SSU rRNA". It matches the Rfam family "Bacterial small subunit ribosomal RNA", at positions 46 to 789 of the family's 1533-position model. The record is from RNAcentral. Lineage: Bacteria; Pseudomonadati; Pseudomonadota; Alphaproteobacteria; Rickettsiales; Anaplasmataceae.
GCUUAACACAUGCAAGUCGAACGGAUUAUUCUUUAUAGCUUGCUAUAAAGAAUAGUUAGUGGCAGACGGGUGAGUAAUGCAUAGGAAUCUACCUAGUAGUAUGGGAUAGCCACUAGAAAUGGUGGGUAAUACUGUAUAAUCCCUGCGGGGGAAAGAUUUAUCGCUAUUAGAUGAGCCUAUGUUAGAUUAGCUAGUUGGUAGGGUAAAGGCCUACCAAGGCGAUGAUCUAUAGCUGGUCUGAGAGGAUGAUCAGCCACACUGGAACUGAGAUACGGUCCAGACUCCUACGGGAGGCAGCAGUGGGGAAUAUUGGACAAUGGGCGCAAGCCUGAUCCAGCUAUGCCGCGUGAGUGAGGAAGGCCUUAGGGUUGUAAAACUCUUUCAGUAGGGAAGAUAAUGACGGUACCUACAGAAGAAGUCCCGGCAAACUCCGUGCCAGCAGCCGCGGUAAUACGGAGGGGGCAAGCGUUGUUCGGAAUUAUUGGGCGUAAAGGGCAUGUAGGCGGUUCGGUAAGUUAAAGGUGAAAUGCCAGGGCUUAACCCUGGAGCUGCUUUUAAUACUGCCAGACUAGAGUCCGGGAGAGGAUAGCGGAAUUCCUAGUGUAGAGGUGAAAUUCGUAGAUAUUAGGAGGAACACCAGUGGCGAAGGCGGCUAUCUGGUCCGGUACUGACGCUGAGGUGCGAAAGCGUGGGGAGCAAACAGGAUUAGAUACCCUG